GUUGAGAUCUAUCUGAAACAUGCCACAUUCAACGUCUAGAAUGAACGGAAAGACGAAAGAAAUGAAAGAAUCCAGAUGACCUUAUUAUUAUUUUGGUGUACAAAAUGUCUGAUGUCGCACUGAAGCCAUGAAGUAUGCAAAUAAUUACCAAAUACAAAUUUGAGAAUAUACGGGGUUGCUUCGAUUAUGGAAGUUUUGCGAAGAAACUAAAUGAAAAACAUCGAGAAAAAUAGUAACAUGAAAAUUGUAUAGAGUAUUUAGGAAGCACACGUACACGCACACGCAUACCAGAUGAUAAUGAAAAAUUACGAUGUUGGCCUGUAUGAAAAGAAUCGAUUUCCGAUCGUGGAAAUAGCCGUAAUAGUCAGGCGAGAAAGAAAAAGCUGAGAAGAGUCGAAGCAACUACGUUUCAGAAAAAGUAGAACUAUUUGUAAGCAACGACGAUAGGGUACCAACUGUUGGACAUUACCAUUGUCUAAAUACUGCUAUGUAAAUUGAUCAAGAUCGUAUACAAAACGUGACGGGAAAUGACAGUAAUAAUAGAAUAAUCUAAUUAUAUUAUAGUAAAAAAAGGACCGUGAAAAUCAGAUUCUUCAGCGUUUAAUGAUUUGCUUAAAUUAUAAACAAGAUAUGCGAUUAAACAAAGAAAGAUUUUUGCUUUUCUUUUUAACAGAGUGAUUCAUACAAUUGAA
Long non-coding RNA from Megachile rotundata (alfalfa leafcutting bee), 692 nucleotides. RefSeq lists it as uncharacterized. The record is from RefSeq and is a predicted model, not a curated record. Lineage: Eukaryota; Metazoa; Arthropoda; Insecta; Hymenoptera; Megachilidae.